RNAcentral lists this ribosomal RNA (462 nucleotides) under uncultured bacterium. RNAcentral's name for it is "partial 16S ribosomal RNA". It matches the Rfam family "Bacterial small subunit ribosomal RNA", at positions 29 to 507 of the family's 1533-position model. The record is from RNAcentral.
AACAAACGCUGGCGGCGUGCCUAAUACAUGCAAGUCGAACGGGGAAAGCUUUCGGGUGAGUACUAGUGGCGCACGGGUGAGGAACGCGUGGAUAAUCUGCCUUAGAGUGGGGGAUAACUAGUCGAAAGAUUAGCUAAUACCGCAUAAGACCACGAGAGCUGCGGCUUUUGAGGUCAAAGGUUUUUCGCUCUAAGAUGAGUCCGCGUAAGAUUAGCUAGUUGGUGAGGUAACGGCUCACCAAGGCGACGAUCUUUAACUGGUCUGAGAGGAUGAUCAGUCACACUGGAACUGAGACACGGUACAGACUCCUACGGGAGGCAGCAGUAGGGAAUAUUGCACAAUGGAGGAAACUCUGAUGCAGCGACGCCGCGUGAGUGAUGAAGGCCUUCGGGUCGUAAAGCUCUGUCGCAGGGGAAUAACACAAUGAAGGUACCCUGUAAGAAAGGAUCGGCUAACUUCGUG